Molecule: ribosomal RNA, 266 nt
Filed under: uncultured bacterium
Lineage: Bacteria
Description: partial 16S ribosomal RNA
Rfam family: Bacterial small subunit ribosomal RNA
Source: RNAcentral
GUCCACGCCGUAAACGAUGAGCACUAGUUAUUGGGGGUAUUGACUCCCUCAGUGACGCAGCUAACGCAUUAAGUGCUCCGCCUGGGGAGUACGGUCGCAAGACUAAAACUCAAACAAAUUGACGGGGGCCCGCACAAGCGGUGGAUUAUGUGGUUUAAUUCGAAGCAACGCGCAGAACCUUACCUAGGCUUGAACUCCUACGAAUCCGGCGUAAUGGCUGGAGUGUCCGCAAGGAAAUGUAGUGAGAGGUGCUGCAUGGCUGUCGU